RNAcentral lists this ribosomal RNA (253 nucleotides) under uncultured bacterium. RNAcentral describes it as "partial 16S ribosomal RNA". It matches the Rfam family "Bacterial small subunit ribosomal RNA", at positions 524 to 776 of the family's 1533-position model. The record is from RNAcentral.
UACGGGGGGAGCAAGCGUUGUUCGGAUUUACUGGGCGUAAAGGGCGCGUAGGCGGCCGCUCAAGUCGGGGGUGAAAUCUUUCAGCUCAACUGGAAAAUAGCCUCCGAUACUGGGCGGCUGGAGGGAGAUAGGGGUGCGCGGAACUUCCGGUGGAGCGGUGAAAUGCGUAGAUAUCGGAAGGAACGCCGGUGGCGAAAGCGGCGCACUGGAUCUCAUCUGACGCUGAGGCGCGAAAGCCAGGGGAGCAAACGGG